Bos taurus (domestic cattle) is the source of this 842-nucleotide long non-coding RNA. The record is from Ensembl. NCBI's taxonomy places the organism in Eukaryota, Metazoa, Chordata, Mammalia, Artiodactyla, Bovidae.
GACUUGGGCUCGAGUCUCUGCUCUUGAAUAUACGCCACUAUACUGGCUCAGCACCAGACUUUCCAGCAGUGAAAUCUGAUUGCCGGUUUCAAGCCCUCCUUCUGUUCCUCCUAAGCCUUCAGCAGCAAUCUGUAUCCAAGUCUGGAUAUAGAAAUGUCAUGAAGGGAGAGGACAGAGUGAAGCUAUGUGUACACCAGAACAGAUAUGUGUACACUAGUGUUGGGGUGUUUGGGGUGAACCGCCGCCUGAAGAAAAGUUACGUGAAGCAGGGGGACAAUCCAUGAAAUAGCCUGGAGCAGCUGUCCACAGUGACGAGUAACAGCAUUCUCCCUUCCCCAGGAUCUUGAGAAAUUUUUGGAAGGAAAAUACAUUUCCUGCUGUAUAUAGAAGAUGUGAUUUUAAAAUACGAUGAUGCUGACUGUUAUUAAAGGAACUGGUGGGUGGAAACAUCGGGAAUGCUUGGCAUGGACAUGAGGAGAACCCAGGUUGAUAUGACACAGAAUCCACCAAACAGAAUGGAUGCUGAUCAGAGUGAACACUGGCUGUUACUCAGGUGCUGUCAGCUGAGCAAUCUUGACAAUGCUCAAUGGUUUGACUUGAUGGGAUUGGAUCUUUGAAAAGGGAGUGCCACAGUUCAGAAAUUUUGCUCAUAUUUUGAUACGGCCUUUCAAAGCGAUUGUCUCACUAUGGACAGAAAAGAAACUGGGAGUCAAAGCUGAGCGAUGACUUGGACACCUGCCUGGCAUCCUCCUCUCCCCUCCCUGAACCACUGAAUCACACUGAUCCCAUCAAGAGUCCCCAAACACCUGAUUAAAGGUAAAUGAAAAAGACAUCCAUUCAAG